Peromyscus leucopus (white-footed mouse) is the source of this 636-nucleotide long non-coding RNA. RefSeq lists it as uncharacterized. The transcript has 2 exons. NCBI's taxonomy places the organism in Eukaryota, Metazoa, Chordata, Mammalia, Rodentia, Cricetidae. The record is from RefSeq and is a predicted model, not a curated record.
AGGGGCGGCCGCGUAAAGCAGGCAGACCGGCGGCUUUAGAAGGUAAAGGCCGUACAAACUGCACAGCACUCCAUACAUACCUACACAAGGAAAGGAACAACGCCCACAACACAUCACACAAGAAUGAAGCUGGCUGCCGUCUACACAUCUGUAACAUUAAUGUGCGUUAGGACCGAAAGGGACAGGAAGGACCCAGUCCCAGAGACUCACGGCCUGCGGGCGCCCCCACAAUCAUAGGACUUGUCAUAGGACUGACGCUGGCUGCAACUACCUGUAGCUGUGCAGAAAUGGACGCUCACUCGGACCUAGUUGUCUCUGAGCAGGACCCACCUCCUAGCUGAUGCUGUGCGAGUGUGUGGAACUUUACUGAGGGAGAGAGGGAGAAAGAGAAACAGAGAAACAAAGAGACCUAGCGCGGAGGGAAGAGAACGGAAGGAGAGAGUGCAGAAAAAAGGAGCAUGAAAAUGAUUUUUAAAGUCUAAAUAAACCACAAAACCAGGAAUACUGAAGCAACUUCCAGGAAACUCUCAGUUGGGAUAGUGAUUUCCAAGAAUAAAGGAUGUUAUCUGCUUAUUUAAAUGUGACCCGCUCAAGCUGUCAUGAAUAAAAGAAGCUUUGGUUAUGCCCACCUUGCAA